AUGGACACCAACUGGCGGCCCAUCCAAGGGUCGGACCCUGCCGCCGGCGGUGACUCGCCCCCACCGGAUCAGGCGAUUGGCGCGCCAAUCUGGAUCCAGCCCCAGGCGCGCACCAGGAUCGUCAAUAAGAUAUCCGAGGCUCUGAAGAGGCAUCUGCCAGUAUCUGCAGUGUCUCACCCAGAUGGACUGAACAAACUUCAACAAAUCGCUGUGCGAUUCGAACAGAGGAUCUAUGAUGCAGCAACCAGCCAGUCUGAUUAUUUCCGCAAGAUUUCUCUGAAAAUGCUCGUUAUGGGGACCAAGACACAACAGGCUCCUGGAAAUGAUCAAGUGAUUCCAAAUCAAAACAACUCCGGUGUCAAUCAAACAUCAAAGAUGCAGAAUAGGCAUCAACGGCCUUCUCUUCAGAGGCACCAGCCCAAUAUUACUUUACAACCACAGCAACAGCAUGCUCAGCAGCCCGCAAUGGGUUUGAUGCAACCUCGGUCUCAACCCAACCAACUUCAAGAAUCGCAACAGCACAUUAUGUCGCAGUUCCAGGCUCAGCCUAACCAACUAAAAAAGCAAUUAGGGAUGCACCAGCAAUUCUCCAUGCAGCAAAGAGUUCAAACUUCAGGAGGCAUGCUCUUGCAGCAAAAUAACAUGGAUCAGAAAAAUGUAUUUAUUCAGGCACAGAAGGGCCUUCAAGAGGCUUCCUCUAGUACAUCCGCGGACUUUACUGCUCAAUCAGGCCAUGCAGGUGCACGUGAUUGGCAAGAGGAUAUAUAUCAAAUGAUUCAGAGCUUGAAGGACCAAUACUUUGCAGAACUUAUUGAAUUGUUCAAUAAGAUAUCUGUGAAGCUACAUCAUGUUGACAGCAUUAUACCACGUCAAAAGCCAUCUGAACAGUAUGAUAGAAUGAAGAGCUUUAAAAUAAUGUUGGACCGUAUAUUACAAGUGCUGCAAAUGAGCAAGAGUACUAUCCAACCUGCUAUGAGGGACAAAAUUCCUCAAUACGAGAAACAGAUUAUCACUAUCUUGAAUUCACAAAGGAAGCCAGUGCAGCCACAAGUACAACAACAGCUCCAGCCACCUCCAGGUAAAUAA
RNAcentral lists this ribosomal RNA (1086 nucleotides) under Triticum aestivum (bread wheat). RNAcentral describes it as "partial small subunit ribosomal RNA". The record is from RNAcentral. Lineage: Eukaryota; Viridiplantae; Streptophyta; Magnoliopsida; Poales; Poaceae.